GACGAACGCUGGCGGCGUGCUUAACACAUGCAAGUCGAGCGGAAAGGCCCUUCGGGGUACUCGAGCGGCGAACGGGUGAGUAACACGUGAGUAACCUGCCCCAGACUUUGGGAUAACCCUCGGAAACGGGGGCUAAUACCGGAUACGACACAGCUUCGCAUGGGGUCUGUGUGGAAAGUUUUUCGGUUUGGGAUGGGCUCGCGGCCUAUCAGCUUGUUGGUGGGGUGAUGGCCUACCAAGGCGACGACGGGUAGCCGGCCUGAGAGGGCGACCGGCCACACUGGGACUGAGACACGGCGCAGACUCCUACGGGAGGCAGCAGUGGGGAAUAUUGCACAAUGGGCGGAAGCCUGAUGCAGCGACGCCGCGUGAGGGAUGACGGCCUUCGGGUUGUAAACCUCUUUCAGCAGGGACGAAGCGUAAGUGACGGUACCUGCAGAAGAAGCGCCGGCCAACUACGUGC
This 463-nucleotide ribosomal RNA is filed under the name uncultured bacterium. RNAcentral describes it as "partial 16S ribosomal RNA". It matches the Rfam family "Bacterial small subunit ribosomal RNA", at positions 28 to 508 of the family's 1533-position model. The record is from RNAcentral.